RNAcentral lists this long non-coding RNA (1274 nucleotides) under Equus caballus (horse). RNAcentral describes it as "lncRNA (ENSECAG00000053195.1)". Lineage: Eukaryota; Metazoa; Chordata; Mammalia; Perissodactyla; Equidae. The record is from RNAcentral.
UUUUAAUUACGUCUCAUUCUAAUCCUUAACGUUUAUCUAAAAAGUGACGGGGGCGGACACGAGGGCGGGUCGGGAGCGGCUGAGCCCCGCGGUCGCCGUGUGUCUAAUUAGAAGCGCCCUUCUUCUUGAUCAACUCGAGUCAAAUUCAUUUACUCUGCUCGAAUUGAGGGUUUAAUUGGAUUCUUGUUUUCCCUCCUCCUGCCUUCGGCCCCGCCAUCUCCUUUGCCUUCCAAAGGGCCUCUCUCCGCGCAGGAAGCAGCCCCGAGCAUCUCCUGAGGACAGACAGACAGCCCCUGAUGGAUACAUGGAUGGAGAUAUUGAACCUGCACAGCUGCUGACGGCCCCAGGCUGGAGACGGCGAACGCUGCGUGCCUCCUGAUGGAAACACGAAGCUCCAUCAGGUUGUCUCACUAAAAAAGCCAAACUUGAGUCUGAUCAAGCCUCAAAAACUGAUUGUCAAUUCAUCGAAAAUACAGAGGGCAGAGGGAUGCGUUGGAAGCCAUCAUGGGGCCGCGGUUGGUAAAGCCCACACUGGGACACACAAGUCAAGCUUCUGGUGUCUUAAAAAAAAUUUUUUUUUUUAAAGAGAAAGGUCCAGCCACUUUGGAAGACAGUUUGGCGGUUUCUUACCAAACUAAACAUACUCUUAUAUGAUCCAGCACCCAUGCUCCUUGGUGUUGAUCCAAAGGUAGUUGAAAACUUAUUUCCACAAAUGUUUAUAGCAGCUUUAUUCAUAUUUGCCAAAACUUAGAAGCAACCGAGAUGUCCUUCGGUAGGUGAUGGAGAAAUAAACUGUGGUCCCUCCAGACAAUGGAAUAUUAUUCAGCCCUGAAAAGAAAUGAGCGAUCAAGCCAUGAAAAGACAUGGAGGAAACUGAAAAGCAUCAGAAGUGAAAGAAACCAGUCUGAAAAGGCUACAGACUGUGUGAUUCCAGCUCUACGAUGUUCUGGAAAGGGCGGAACUGUGGAGCCAGGAAAAAGCUCAGAGGUUGCCAGGCCUUCCAGGAGUGACGGAUAGAUGUGCACGGAGGAUUUUCCAGGCAGUGAAAAUUCUCUGUGUGAUACUCUAAGGAUGGAUACACGCCAUUAUGUUUUUGCCCAAAUCCAUAGAAUUUAGGACGCCAAGAUUGAAGUGUAUUGUAAACUAUAGACUGUGGGUGAUAAUGAUGCGUCAAUGUAGGUUCAUCAGUUUUAACAAAUGUCCCACUCUGGAUGGGGAUGUUGAUAAUGGGGGAGGCUGUGCAAGUGCAAAGGCAGAGGGUAUAUGGGGAAUCU